Molecule: ribosomal RNA, 2726 nt
Filed under: Salmonella enterica
Lineage: Bacteria; Pseudomonadati; Pseudomonadota; Gammaproteobacteria; Enterobacterales; Enterobacteriaceae
Description: partial 23S ribosomal RNA
Rfam family: Bacterial large subunit ribosomal RNA
Source: RNAcentral
GGGUUGUGAGGUUAAGCGACCAAGCGUACACGGUGGAUGCCCUGGCAGUCAGAGGCGAUGAAGGACGUGCUAAUCUGCGAAAAGCGCCGGUAAGGUGAUAUGAACCGUUAUAACCGGCGAUGUCCGAAUGGGGAAACCCAGUGUGACUCGUCACACUAUCAUUAACUGAAUCCAUAGGUUAAUGAGGCGAACCGGGGGAACUGAAACAUCUAAGUACCCCGAGGAAAAGAAAUCAACCGAGAUUCCCCCAGUAGCGGCGAGCGAACGGGGAGGAGCCCAGAGCCUGAAUCAGCAUGUGUGUUAGUGGAAGCGUCUGGAAAGGCGCGCGAUACAGGGUGAGAGCCCCGUACACAAAAGCGCAUAUGCUGUGAGCUCGAUGAGUAGGGCGGGACACGUGGUAUCCUGUCUGAAUAUGGGGGGACCAUCCUCCAAGGCUAAAUACUCCUGACUGACCGAUAGUGAACCAGUACCGUGAGGGAAAGGCGAAAAGAACCCCGGCGAGGGGAGUGAAACAGAACCUGAAACCGUGUACGUACAAGCAGUGGGAGCCUCUCUUUAUGGGGGGUGACUGCGUACCUUUUGUAUAAUGGGUCAGCGACUUAUAUUCUGUAGCAAGGUUAACCGCAUAGGGGAGCCGAAGGGAAACCGAGUCUUAAUUGGGCGUUAAGUUGCAGGGUAUAGACCCGAAACCCGGUGAUCUAGCCAUGGGCAGGUUGAAGGUUGGGUAACACUAACUGGAGGACCGAACCGACUAAUGUUGAAAAAUUAGCGGAUGACCUGUGGCUGGGGGUGAAAGGCCAAUCAAACCGGGAGAUAGCUGGUUCUCCCCGAAAGCUAUUUAGGUAGCGCCUCGUGAACUCAUCUCCGGGGGUAGAGCACUGUUUCGGCUAGGGGGCCAUCCCGGCUUACCAACCCGAUGCAAACUGCGAAUACCGGAGAAUGUUAUCACGGGAGACACACGGCGGGUGCUAACGUCCGUCGUGAAGAGGGAAACAACCCAGACCGCCAGCUAAGGUCCCAAAGUCAUGGUUAAGUGGGAAACGAUGUGGGAAGGCCCAGACAGCCAGGAUGUUGGCUUAGAAGCAGCCAUCAUUUAAAGAAAGCGUAAUAGCUCACUGGUCGAGUCGGCCUGCGCGGAAGAUGUAACGGGGCUAAACCAUGCACCGAAGCUGCGGCAGCGACACUUUAGUGUUGUUGGGUAGGGGAGCGUUCUGUAAGCCGUUGAAGGUGUCCUGUGAGGGGUGCUGGAGGUAUCAGAAGUGCGAAUGCUGACAUAAGUAACGAUAAAGCGGGUGAAAAGCCCGCUCGCCGGAAGACCAAGGGUUCCUGUCCAACGUUAAUCGGGGCAGGGUGAGUCGACCCCUAAGGCGAGGCCGAAAGGCGUAGUCGAUGGGAAACGGGUUAAUAUUCCCGUACUUGGUGUUACUGCGAAGGGGGGACGGAGAAGGCUAUGUUGGCCGGGCGACGGUAGUCCCGGUUUAAGCGUGUAGGCUGGUUUUCCAGGCAAAUCCGGAAAAUCAAGGCUGAGGCGUGAUGACGAGGCACCACGGUGCUGAAGCAACAAAUGCCCUGCUUCCAGGAAAAGCCUCUAAGCAUCAGGUAACAUCAAAUCGUACCCCAAACCGACACAGGUGGUCAGGUAGAGAAUACCAAGGCGCUUGAGAGAACUCGGGUGAAGGAACUAGGCAAAAUGGUGCCGUAACUUCGGGAGAAGGCACGCUGACACGUAGGUGAAGUGAUUUACUCAUGGAGCUGAAGUCAGUCGAAGAUACCAGCUGGCUGCAACUGUUUAUUAAAAACACAGCACUGUGCAAACACGAAAGUGGACGUAUACGGUGUGACGCCUGCCCGGUGCCGGAAGGUUAAUUGAUGGGGUCAGCGCAAGCGAAGCUCCUGAUCGAAGCCCCGGUAAACGGCGGCCGUAACUAUAACGGUCCUAAGGUAGCGAAAUUCCUUGUCGGGUAAGUUCCGACCUGCACGAAUGGCGUAAUGAUGGCCAGGCUGUCUCCACCCGAGACUCAGUGAAAUUGAACUCGCUGUGAAGAUGCAGUGUACCCGCGGCAAGACGGAAAGACCCCGUGAACCUUUACUAUAGCUUGACACUGAACAUUGAGCCUUGAUGUGUAGGAUAGGUGGGAGGCUUUGAAGCGUGGACGCCAGUCUGCGUGGAGCCGACCUUGAAAUACCACCCUUUAAUGUUUGAUGUUCUAACGUGGACCCGUAAUCCGGGUUGCGGACAGUGUCUGGUGGGUAGUUUGACUGGGGCGGUCUCCUCCUAAAGAGUAACGGAGGAGCACGAAGGUUGGCUAAUCCUGGUCGGACAUCAGGAGGUUAGUGCAAUGGCAUAAGCCAGCUUGACUGCGAGCGUGACGGCGCGAGCAGGUGCGAAAGCAGGUCAUAGUGAUCCGGUGGUUCUGAAUGGAAGGGCCAUCGCUCAACGGAUAAAAGGUACUCCGGGGAUAACAGGCUGAUACCGCCCAAGAGUUCAUAUCGACGGCGGUGUUUGGCACCUCGAUGUCGGCUCAUCACAUCCUGGGGCUGAAGUAGGUCCCAAGGGUAUGGCUGUUCGCCAUUUAAAGUGGUACGCGAGCUGGGUUUAGAACGUCGUGAGACAGUUCGGUCCCUAUCUGCCGUGGGCGCUGGAGAAUUGAGGGGGGCUGCUCCUAGUACGAGAGGACCGGAGUGGACGCAUCACUGGUGUUCGGGUUGUCAUGCCAAUGGCACUG